This 392-nucleotide ribosomal RNA is filed under the name uncultured bacterium. RNAcentral describes it as "bacterial SSU rRNA". It matches the Rfam family "Bacterial small subunit ribosomal RNA", at positions 28 to 418 of the family's 1533-position model. The record is from RNAcentral.
GAUGAACGCUAGCGGCAGGCCUAAUACAUGCAAGUCGAACGGAUAUAUGUUUUUCGGAAUAUAUAUUAGUGGCGCACGGGUGAGUAACACGUACAUAACUUGCCCUCAAGCGGGGGAUAGCCUUGGGAAACUGGGAGUAAUACCCCAUAGAAUUAUUGGACGGCAUCGUUUGAUAAUUAAAACUACGGUGCUUGGGGAUAGAUGUGCGUCUGAUUAGCUAGUUGGUGAGGUAACUGCUCACCAAGGCGACGAUCAGUAGGGGGCGUGAGAGCGUGGCCCCCCACCACGGGUACUGAGACACGGACCCGACUCCUACGGGAGGCAGCAGUAAGGAAUAUUGGUCAAUGGAGGGAACUCUGAACCAGCCAUGCCGCGUGAAGGAUGACGGCCCU